This 1242-nucleotide ribosomal RNA is filed under the name Staphylococcus pseudintermedius. RNAcentral describes it as "partial 23S ribosomal RNA". It matches the Rfam family "Bacterial large subunit ribosomal RNA", at positions 1660 to 2903 of the family's 2925-position model. The record is from RNAcentral. Lineage: Bacteria; Bacillati; Bacillota; Bacilli; Caryophanales; Staphylococcaceae.
CAGGUAGUCAAGAUGAGAAUUCUAAGGUGAGCGAGCGAACUCUCGUUAAGGAACUCGGCAAAAUGACCCCGUAACUUCGGGAGAAGGGGUGCUCUUUGAGGUUCACGCUUCGAAGAGCCGCAGUGAAUAGGCCCAAGCGACUGUUUAUCAAAAACACAGGUCUCUGCUAAACCGUAAGGUGACGUAUAGGGGCUGACGCCUGCCCGGUGCUGGAAGGUUAAGAGGAGUGGUUAGCGCAAGCGAAGCUACGAAUCGAAGCCCCAGUAAACGGCGGCCGUAACUAUAACGGUCCUAAGGUAGCGAAAUUCCUUGUCGGGUAAGUUCCGACCCGCACGAAAGGCGUAACGAUUUGGGCACUGUCUCAACGAGAGACUCGGUGAAAUCAUAGUACCGGUGAAGAUGCCGGUUACCCGCGACAGGACGGAAAGACCCCGUGGAGCUUUACUGUAGCCUGAUAUUGAAAUUCGGUACAGUUUGUACAGGAUAGGUAGGAGCCUUAGAAGCGUGAGCGCUAGCUUACGUGGAGGCAUUGGUGGGAUACUACCCUAAUUGUAUUGGAUUUCUAACCCGCAGCACUUAUCGUGCUGGGAGACAGUGUCAGGCGGGCAGUUUGACUGGGGCGGUCGCCUCCUAAAGAGUAACGGAGGCGCUCAAAGGUUCCCUCAGAAUGGUUGGAAAUCAUUCAUAGAGUGUAAAGGCAUAAGGGAGCUUGACUGCGAGACCUACAAGUCGAGCAGGGUCGAAAGACGGACUUAGUGAUCCGGUGGUUCCGCAUGGAAGGGCCAUCGCUCAACGGAUAAAAGCUACCCCGGGGAUAACAGGCUUAUCUCCCCCAAGAGUUCACAUCGACGGGGAGGUUUGGCACCUCGAUGUCGGCUCAUCGCAUCCUGGGGCUGUAGUCGGUCCCAAGGGUUGGGCUGUUCGCCCAUUAAAGCGGUACGCGAGCUGGGUUCAGAACGUCGUGAGACAGUUCGGUCCCUAUCCGUCGUGGGCGUAGGAAAUUUGAGAGGAGCUGUCCUUAGUACGAGAGGACCGGGAUGGACAUACCUCUGGUGUACCAGUUGUCGUGCCAACGGCAUAGCUGGGUAGCUAUGUAUGGACGGGAUAAGUGCUGAAAGCAUCUAAGCAUGAAGCCCCCCUCGAGAUGAGAUUUCCCAACUUCGGUUAUAAGAUCCCUCAAAGAUGAUGAGGUGAAUAGGUUCGAGGUGGAAGCGUAGCGAUACGUGGAGCUGACGAAUACUA